UCACAUCCUACUAGCACAACAAGCCUCAUCGCCGACUGAUCCGUCUUCUCAAAUUCGAACCAACUCAAUGACUAAGCAAGCAAAGGUUUCAGGGUAUUAUAUAUUUCCUCUCUUUAAUCUGUGCAUUAUUUUAGCUUCCUUAUCAGCCAACAUAUUCUCAUAAAACCUUUGUCCUCAGGUGAUCUACAUUAGUCAAAUUGCUAGAUCAUAGUCUCAGAAAACAAACAAGAGGUAUGGUCACAUACACUUUUCCCUCUGUCUAUAUCACAUAAUCAUCAUUCAACCAUAAUUUUACAAGUCAGACAUUCAUAAAUGACCCAUGAUGCACUUUAUCAAAAGCUACUUUUUCAUGAUGUCGGGAAGAUCAAACACAAGAGACGGCCAACAAAUUGAAGGUAUGGCAACAACUCCAGCAACUUGCAUCCAAUAUACGCCGGCGACACCCAAACGAUCAAAGGCACAAAGAAACGUCCGACGAACUGAAGACACAAUAUCAGCACCAUCAGCCUCAGGUAAUAUCCCCAUGCAAUUCUUCAUGUGUGUGCCUGCAUUUUGAUCUCAGCUCAACAUUGCGUCAAAACUCUUCUCAUACUGAACUAUAAAAUUCUUUUUCUUCAUGCAUCCUAACACUACCAUGAUAAUAAUGUCAAAGCUACAAAAAGAGCAACACGGUUGAACAAUUAUUGAUUUAUAGUUCCCUACCAGAUAAACAACAUUGAUCUCCAGAUGUACUGUAUGUGACAACAUCCAUUAGUAGUCUCUUAUAUCACCAAAUGCACUUGCAUGCCUGUAAAGGAAAAACACUAUUAAGUACUCUCUCUGUAGAGAAAUAUAAGAGUGUUUAGAUCACUACUUUAGUAAUCUAAACGCUAUUAUAUUUCUUUAUGGAGGGAGUACAACAUAAAUCAUGUUACAUGAUACUAUGUUAAGAAAACUAUACGCACUGACGAAAUCACAUUUGCAGAUAUGAGAGUCCAACAUACGUUAGACCCAGCUCACCAGACAAAAAGAAAGAAAGAACAACCUCUAAACUCAAGGGGUAGAAAGCGGACAAGGACUGCAGAGGGAAGAAGAAAUGCGAACACAGAGGCUCCUAAACGAUUGAGAAAGGCUAAUGCUGAAGAAGAUAGGGAAUUGAAGCGCGCCAGAAGCGAAACCAACAAAAACAACACUAGAGUCAAUGUUGGAGACAACAACAGAACCAAAACCUCGACAAGUGCUAAUAGCAAGCCAUGGAACUUCGGAAGGCCAACAUACAAAUGCCAAUAUUGCAAAGCAUUGCUAUGGUGUGAAGAAAGAUUAAAUUCAAACAAAGGAACUACGACACCCUCUUUUGGAAUAUGCUGCAAACAAGGGAAAAUCGAUCUGCCGCCACUAAGAGAACCUCCACCAUACCUUAGAAACCUCUUAAGAAGUGAAGGGCAGGAUUCGGUAAACUUCAAAGAAAAUAUAAGGUCAUACAACUCAAUGUUUUCAUUCACAUCGAUGGGAGGAGCUGUGGACAAGGAAAUAAACACUCGCAAAGGACCUUAUGUUUUUCAUUUGCAUGGACAAAACUACCACCAUAUCGGAACUCUUUUGCCUCAAGGUACAGACAAACCUCAGUUCGCACAACUAUACAUCUAUAAUACCGAAAUUGAGGUGGAAAACAGGAUAAGUGCGUCAAGAUGCAAUGAUAAUAAAUCAACAGUGAACCCCAACAUCGUCAAAGAACUGAAGAUAAUGCUCGACGACAACAAUAUCCUCGCAAAAACAUUCAGAAUGGCAAGAGACAGAUUCCAAGAAGGAGACUACCAUGAUUACACACUUCGGAUACUAGGCAAAAGGAACGGAACACACAACCUUCCAUCCGCAUCUAAAGUUGCAGCAUUGGUAGUAAGAGAUCCAACCGGAGAGAGUAAAGGACGUGACAUUGUUGUUGAGUACAAAAAUAUGGAGCCGCAAAGGAUAUCAGAGAUCCACCCAAAAUUCAUGUCCAUGCAAUAUCCGUUGUUGUUCCCAUAUGGAGAAGAUGGUUUUAAACUUGAGAUACCCUACAAGAAAACAAAAGGAGGUACAAACAGCAGGAAAUACGUAACAUUGUUGGACUACUAUGCAUUCUACCUACAGCAACGUCCUGAUCAAGGAAUGUUACUACUCAAGUCCGGGCAUUUGUCACUGCAAUUUUGGGUGGAUGUAUACACAUGUAUCGAGCAAAAUAGACUAAACUGGAUCCGACACAAUCAAGGAAAGCUACGAACUGAACUUUACAGUGGAUUACGGGAUGCAAUUGAGCGAGGGGACACAAGAACAGAGCAAGUUGGAAAGAGGAUAAUUGUGCCUUCAUCUUUUACAGGUGGUAGAAGAAACAAGGCACACUAUUUGCAAGAUGCCUUUGCAAUAUGUCGUUGGGAUGGAUACCCAGACCUAUUUAUAACAUUCACAUGCAAUGCAAAGUGGCCUGAGAUCCAAUACAUGCUAGAUGAAGCGGGAGGUGGCCAAAAGCCAGCCGAUCGGCCAGAUAUUGUGGACAGAGUAUUUAUGAUCAAACUAAAGGAGCUAAUGAGAGACAUAAAAGAAAAGAAAUACUUUGGAGAAACAGUUGCAAGUAAGUACCAUUGACUAUCAAUCUUUACUCUUUCUUGCAUCAUCUUAUAGUCCGUCAGACUCCUGCUCUUUAGAAACAUGCAUCAUCUUAUACUCCGUAAGAUUCUAGCUCUUUAGUAACAUGCAUUCUAAUUUUAGCUAAAUCUGACAAACUAUUAAUCAACUGCAGUCAUCUACACAAUAGAAUUCCAGAAGAGAGGACUCCCGCAUGCCCACAUACUAAUAUUUUUGAAGGACAAAGACAAGUACCCGGAACCAUCGCAAAUCGACAAAAUAAUAAGCGUUGAGAUCCCAAACAAGGAUGAGGAUCCAGAAGCAUUUGAAGCUGUUGAGAACUUCAUGAUGCAUGGCCCGUGCGGUGAGGCUAAGAAAAACUCACCAUGCAUGGUGGACCAUAGAUGCACCAAGCAUUUCCCAAAAAGAUACAAUGUCAGCACUACCAUUGACGAGGACGGAUUUCCAGUAUAUAAAAGGAGGGAUGACGGAAGGCAGAUCAAAAAGGGAGGGGUGAUGCUCGACAACAGAUUUGUCGUGCCAUACAACCGGAACCUUCUGGUCAAGUAUCAAGCUCACAUAAAUGUCGAGUGGUGCAAUAGGUCCAGAUCAAUCAAGUACCUAUUUAAGUAUAUCCAUAAAGACGACGACCAUGUUACAGCCUUGCUCAAGGAAAGGGGCAUGGCAAACGAAACUGACGAGAUCAAGAAAUACCUAGAGAUGAGAUACAUAUCAACAUCAGAAGCAUGCUAGAGGAUAUUUCAGUUUGAUCUUUAGUAUCGCGAUCCAGCAGUUGAGAGGCUACCUUUCCAUCUUGAAAAUGAGCAACAAGUCGUCUUUCCAGACUCCACUGAUCUUGAAAAGAUAGUAACAAGGGACGGAUCUAAAAUCACCAAGUUCACUUAGUGGAUGGAGGCAAAUAAAAUAUACGAGCUAGGAAAAGGAUUGACUUACGCAGAAUUCCCUACAAAGUUUGUAUGGAAAAGCGAAACAAAAUGUUGGCAGAAGCGAAAAAGGGACUAUGCAAUUGGAAGAAUCUACUAUGCACAUCCCGCAAGUGGCGAGAGAUAUCAUAUGAGGAUGCUUCUAAACACCAAGAAAGGAUGCACAUCAUUUAAGGACAUUAGGACCGUUGAUGGAGUCAUUCACCCAACAUACAAAUCAGCAUGCCAAGCCCUCGGAUUUCUUGAUGAUGACACCGAGUGGAUUGACUGUAUCAAUGAAGCAUCAAGUUGGGCAUCUGAAACACAACUACGUCAGUUAUUCACCACCAUAUUGUCCCAUUGCGAAGUCACAAACCCAAAAGUAUUGUGGGAUUCAACAUGGGAGGCGUUGUGUGAAGAUAUGCAAUAUAAAAGAAGGACUAUUCUAAACUUUCCAACACUUCGGCUUACAAACACACAGAAGAAAGCGUAUGGUCUGAUUGAGAUAGAAAAACUGAUGAGGCAAGUAGAAAAGUCACUAAAGGACUAUCCAGACAUAGAACUACCAAAUGCCGCAGAGCUAGAAGAACUUGGGAACAGACUAAUAAACGAAGAGGUCAACUACGACAUGGACAAACUCAAGGAUGAGCACAAAAUCAUACUAAACAAUCUUAACCAAGACCAGAAAAAGGCCUAUGAUGCAAUAAUGGAGUCAGUCGACAAAGGCCUAGGAAAGCAGAUAUUUGUCGAAGGCUACGGUGGCACAGGAAAAACCUAUCUAUGGAAAGCAAUAACGACAAAGCUAAGAUCAGAGGGGAAGAUAGUACUUGCAGUAGCAUCAUGUGGCAUUGCAGCGUUGCUUCUCCAAGGUGGAAGAACAGCACACUCAAGGUUCCGUAUUCCACUUAAUAUCACUGAAGAAUCAACAUGUGAAAUAAAACAAGGCUCGCAUUUGGCUGAACUGCUAAAGAAGACCUCACUUAUAUUGUGGGACGAGGCUCCUAUGGCAAACAAACACUGCUUUGAGGCACUAGACAAAAUCCUUAGAGAUAUUCUAAGGUUCACUAAUGAAAACAGCGAUGAAAAGCCAUUUGGUGGAAUGACAGUUAUACUAGGAGGCGACUUCAGACAAAUCCUGCCAGUUAUAACCAAAGGAAGGAGAGAGCAGAUAGUAAAUGCUUCAAUCAAAAGGUCAUAUCUGUGGAAACACUUUGAAAUAUUUGAGUUAACACAGAACAUGCGGCUGAAGUGUUUGUCAGAUGAUCCAAUACAAAAGCAAAAGGUCGCUGAAUUUGCAGAGUGGAUACUACAGAUUGGCGAUGGGAAAACAACAUCAGAUGAAGGAGAGGAUUGGAUAAAAAUACCAAAAGACCUACUGCUAGAGAAAGGAGAAAAUCGUAAGGAACAAAUCGUCAAAAGCAUAUACCCAAAUUUGCUGCAAAAUUACCGUGAGCGGGAUUACCUAGAAGAAAGAGCAAUACUAUGUCCAAGAAAUGAUACAGUCAAGGAGAUAAAUGACCACAUAAUGAGCCAAAUACAAGGUGAAGAGGUGACAUACCUAAGCCUGGACACAGUGUGCAAGGCAACGACAAAUACCAACAUCAUGAUGAACAUGCAACCUACUGAGUUCCUCAACACCUUAACGUCCCCAGGAAUACCAGAC
This 5166-nucleotide long non-coding RNA is filed under the name Triticum aestivum (bread wheat). RNAcentral's name for it is "long non-coding RNA (TAES_LNC002562)". Lineage: Eukaryota; Viridiplantae; Streptophyta; Magnoliopsida; Poales; Poaceae. The record is from RNAcentral.